This 275-nucleotide long non-coding RNA is filed under the name Salvia miltiorrhiza (redroot sage). RNAcentral describes it as "long non-coding RNA (SMIL_LNC009415)". Lineage: Eukaryota; Viridiplantae; Streptophyta; Magnoliopsida; Lamiales; Lamiaceae. The record is from RNAcentral.
AUAAAGAGAAACAGGGCAUACGCAUCAAUGGAUUCAUUUCAUUCUGUGCUGUGCGCUUUCCCCACACACUACCUGCAUUGCACACUUGUUCCAUCACUCAAAUGGAGUAUUACAAAUCAAAACUAGAAAUCCAAUCAAUUUUAACCAAAUCUACAUUUUCUUAUGUGUACCUUAAGUAGUGAUUCUCAGUAACGUAUAACACAAAAGUUAGGACUAUCCAAGCUCUCCGACAGUCCUUCGUUAUUAAUCCCGAGGUAAAAGCGAACUUGAAGGGC